Molecule: long non-coding RNA, 566 nt
Organism: Mauremys mutica (yellowpond turtle)
Lineage: Eukaryota; Metazoa; Chordata; Testudines; Geoemydidae
Exons: 3
Source: RefSeq, a predicted model, not a curated record
CAUUUAUGUAGCCAUGCUGAAAGAACAGUUAAUUACUUUCGAGUUUCAAAUGCUAGUAAUGGCUGUUCAACUGCCAUCAAAAUGCAAACUCAGGAGUAAGGUCAUAAAGGACAUGGAUCUGGGUUUCUCAGGGUAGCUCUCGUGGAAGGCCCAAACCAGAAGCGUGAACGUGAACAUUUUCAUCUGGCUCCCAAGCAUUCCUGUGGGCCGUAAUCUUCCUAGUCAGUCAGAUGUGUCCUUUAGGGGAACCUCCUACACACCAGCGAGUACCUACACCAGAUAAGGAAAAAACCAUGAAGGAACAAGGACAUAUUUAAAAAGGUGCUUCUAUCCUCAGAGGUAGUAAACCAAGAAUGCACGAUGUAGAGAGAGACUUUAAAAGAAAAUUAUAAAACAGACAGACAGGACAGGAGAGCCAGGAGAAAAUUGUAAUGGGCCAGGAGCAGAUUAUAAAAGCGAUGGAGGAGAUGUUGAAGUCCCUAAUCAUGCUGCAGGCAGAAUGCAUGCUCAGUCCCACCUGCAGCAGCCAAUACAGAACUGCCUUCCAUGCCCUCCCCAAACGCCUC